AUUGAACGCUGGCGGCAGGCUUAACACAUGCAAGUCGAGCGGGGGAAGGUAGCUUGCUACUGGACCUAGCGGCGGACGGGUGAGUAAUGCUUAGGAAUCUGCCUAUUAGUGGGGGACAACAUCUCGAAAGGUAUGCUAAUACCGCAUACGUCCUACGAGAGAAAGCAGGGGAUCUUCGGACCUUGCGCUCAUAGGUGAGCCGAAGUCGGAUUAGCUAGUUGGUGGGGUGAAGGCCUACCAGGGCGACGAUCUGUAGCGGGUCCGAGAGGAUGAGCCGCCACACUGGGACUGAGAAACGGCCCAGAGUCCUACGGGAGGCAGCAGUGGGGAAUAUUGGACAAUGGGGGGAACCCUGAUCCAGCCAUGCCGCGUGUGUGAAGAAGGCCUUAUGGUUGUAAAGCACUUUAAGCGAGGAGGAGGCUACUCUAGUUAAUACCUAGGGAUAGUGGACGUUACUCGCAGAAUAAGCACCGGCUAACUCUGUGCCAGCCGCCGCGGUAA
This 501-nucleotide ribosomal RNA is filed under the name uncultured bacterium. RNAcentral's name for it is "partial 16S ribosomal RNA". It matches the Rfam family "Bacterial small subunit ribosomal RNA", at positions 30 to 523 of the family's 1533-position model. The record is from RNAcentral.